ACUUGUUAUUUUUAAAGCUAUCGCAACUAUUUUAUUGUCGGCCGCCUUAGCGAAACCUCAUCAUCUAGUGGAUGUCGAUGGUGCUGCUUUAGAAAAGUGUUCGCGACAAUGCCCUGCAGAGAAAGAUGGUGAACGUUAUUGUGGACAUCAUGGAAGUCCGCACUAUAACUGCGCCGCAGCUUGUUUAGAAGGCAUCACCGAAAAAUGUUAGAAGUAUGAAUCAUCCUAAAUCUGAAAAAUUUGUAUGUCAGGUAUCCAGGAAUAACAAGAAAAUCUAUUUUUAUCCACUUCAAUGCAAUACCUUGUUUGUAUUUACACGAAUUGUAAAUCAUAUGUCACUUAACGACCAUUUUAGACUUCACAACGUUU
Belonocnema kinseyi is the source of this 369-nucleotide long non-coding RNA. RefSeq lists it as uncharacterized. NCBI's taxonomy places the organism in Eukaryota, Metazoa, Arthropoda, Insecta, Hymenoptera, Cynipidae. The record is from RefSeq and is a predicted model, not a curated record. The transcript has 4 exons.